CCUACGGGUGGCAGCAGUGGGGAAUAUUGCACAAUGGGGGAAACCCUGAUGCAGCAACGCCGCGUGAGUGAAGAAGUAUUUCGGUAUGGAAAGCUCUAUCAGCAGGGAAGAAAAUGACGGUACAUGAGUAAGAAGCCCCGGCUAACUACGUGUCAGAUGCCGCGGUACUACGUAGGGGGCAAGAGUUAUCCGGAUUUACUGGGUGUAAGGGGAGCGUAAACGGCGAUACAAGUCUGAAGUGAAAGCCCGGGGCUCAACCCCGGGACUGCUUUUGAAACUGUGUGGCUGGAGUGCUGGAGAGGCAGGCGGAAUUUCUAGUGUAGCGGUGAAAUGCAUAGAUAUUAGGAAGAACACCGGUGGCGAAGGCAGCUUGCUGAACAGUAACUGACGUUGAAGCUCGAAAGCGUGGGGAGCAAACAGGAUUAGAUACCCGGGUAGUC
Molecule: ribosomal RNA, 440 nt
Filed under: uncultured bacterium
Lineage: Bacteria
Description: partial 16S ribosomal RNA
Rfam family: Bacterial small subunit ribosomal RNA
Source: RNAcentral